UGAAUACGAGACGCUACGGCGUCGAAGCAGUCUAUGUCAUACUUCCAAGAAAAGCUCGCAAUGUCUUGAACAAAUAAUGCCUGUACCAUAACCGACACAGGUGGGUAGGUAGAGUAUACUAAGGGGCGCGAGAUAACUCUCUCUAAGGAACUCGGCAAAAUGACUCCGUAACUUCGGGAGAAGGAGUGCCUUAUUUAUAAGGUUGCAAUAACAAGAUCCAAGCAACUGUUUAUCAAAAACACAGGUCUCCGCUAAGUCGUAAGACGAUGUAUGGGGGCUGACGCCUGCCCAGUGCCAGAAGGUUAAAGAAGUUGGUUAGCAUUCGCGAAGCUGAUGACUGAAGCCCUGGUGAACGGCGGCCGUAACGAUAACGGUCCUAAGGUAGCGAAAUUCCUUGUCGGGUAAGUUCCGACCCGCACGAAAGGCGUAAUGAUUUGGAUACUGUCUCGGAGAGGGACUCGGUGAAAUAGACUUGUCUGUGAAGAUGCGGACUACCUGCACCUGGACAGAAAGACCCUAUGAAGCUUUACUGUAACUUGAAAUUGAAAUUGGACUUUAUUCGCGCAGUAUAGGUGGGAGGCGUUGAGAAUAUUCUUGCGGGAAUGUUGGAGCCAUCAGUGAGAUACCACCCUUGUAAUGUUAGAUUUCUAACUUUGUAUCAUGAUCUGGUCAAAGAACAGUUUCAGGCGGGCAGUUUGACUGGGGCGGUCGCCUCCCAAAUGGUAACGGAGGCGUACAAAGGUUUCCUCUGAACGGGUAGAAAUCGUAUCUAGAGUGUAAAGGCAUAAGGAAGCUUGACUGUGAGACCUACAAGUCGAGCAGGGACGAAAGUCGGUCUUAGUGAUCUGACGGUGCUGAGUGGAAAGGCCGUCACUCAACGGAUAAAAGUUACUCUAGGAUAACAGGCUGAUCUCCCCCAAGAGUUCACAUCGACGGGGAGGUUUGGCACCUCGAUGUCGGCUCAUCGCAUCCUGGGGCGGUAGUACGUCCCAAGGGUUGGGCUGUUCGCCCAUGAAAGCGGUACGCGAGCUGGGUUCAGAACGUCGUGAGACAGUUCGGUCCAUAUCCGGUGUAGGCGUUAGAAUAUUGAGAGGAGCCUUCUUUAGUACGAGAGGACCGAGAAGGACAUACCUCUGGUGUACCAGUUAUCGUGCCAACGGUAAACGCUGGGUAGCUAUGUAUGGAGAGGAUAACCGCUGAAAGCAUCUAAGUGGGAAGCCCACCUCAAGAUAAGUA
RNAcentral lists this ribosomal RNA (1236 nucleotides) under metagenome. RNAcentral describes it as "bacterial LSU rRNA". It matches the Rfam family "Bacterial large subunit ribosomal RNA", at positions 1564 to 2810 of the family's 2925-position model. The record is from RNAcentral.